Molecule: non-coding RNA, 179 nt
Organism: Tinamus guttatus (white-throated tinamou)
Lineage: Eukaryota; Metazoa; Chordata; Aves; Tinamiformes; Tinamidae
Source: RefSeq, a predicted model, not a curated record
AGCCCAUUCACUACAAUCAGAUGAAACAGGCCUUCCUGCUAAGCCUGUCUAGUGUGCAUCCGGAUACAGACAAAAUAAUUCCAGUUUUGUUUAGACCUCCAGCCUUCCUGCCUGUGUCUCUUCCAUUGGUUAUUGCUUCAUCGCUUCCGCUGCAAGCAAAGAAUGCAUUUCUUUGUCAG